GUGAAUCAUCGAAUCUUUGAACGCACAUUGCGCCCACCAGUACUCUGGUGGGCAUGCCUGUCCGAGCGUCAUUUCGACCCUCGAGCCCCCUGUGGCGGCUCGGUGUUGGGACGCUACAGCGCGCUUGCCCGCGCUGUAGGCCCCGAAAUGCAGUGGCGGCCUCGCCGAGACCCCGAGCGCAGUAAACCGUGCCUUAGCACAGCGCCUCGCUCAGGGCGUCCGGCGGGUGCCCCGGCCGUUAAACCCCCAACUUAUAGAAGGUUGACCUCGGAUCAGGUAGGAAUACCCGCUGAACUUAAGCAUAUCAAUAAGCGGAGGA
RNAcentral lists this unclassified non-coding RNA (319 nucleotides) under Spadicoides sp. Its description in RNAcentral is "partial contains 5.8S ribosomal RNA, internal transcribed spacer 2, and large subunit ribosomal RNA". The stretch from base 1 to 71 matches the Rfam family "5.8S ribosomal RNA", at positions 84 to 154 of the family's 154-position model. Lineage: Eukaryota; Fungi; Ascomycota; Sordariomycetes; Xenospadicoidales; Xenospadicoidaceae. The record is from RNAcentral.